This 496-nucleotide ribosomal RNA is filed under the name uncultured bacterium. RNAcentral describes it as "partial 16S ribosomal RNA". It matches the Rfam family "Bacterial small subunit ribosomal RNA", at positions 29 to 507 of the family's 1533-position model. The record is from RNAcentral.
AUGAACGCUGGCGGCGUGCCUAAUACAUGCAAGUCGUGCGAACAGACGAGGAGCUUGCUCCUCUGACGUUAGCGGCGGACGGGUGAGUAACACGUGGAUAACCUACCUAUAAGACUGGGAUAACUUCGGGAAACCGGAGCUAAUACCGGAUAAUAUAUUGAACCGCAUGGUUCAAUAGUGAAAGACGGUUUUGCUGUCACUUAUAGAUGGAUCCGCGCCGCAUUAGCUAGUUGGUAAGGUAACGGCUUACCAAGGCAACGAUGCGUAGCCGACCUGAGAGGGUGAUCGGCCACACUGGAACUGAGACACGGUCCAGACUCCUACGGGAGGCAGCAGUAGGGAAUCUUCCGCAAUGGGCGAAAGCCUGACGGAGCAACGCCGCGUGAGUGAUGAAGGUCUUCGGAUCGUAAAACUCUGUUAUUAGGGAAGAACAAAUGUGUAAGUAACUAUGCACGUCUUGACGGUACCUAAUCAGAAAGCCACGGCUAACUACGUG